Molecule: ribosomal RNA, 376 nt
Filed under: uncultured soil bacterium
Lineage: Bacteria
Description: bacterial SSU rRNA
Rfam family: Bacterial small subunit ribosomal RNA
Source: RNAcentral
AGAGCGAACGCUGGCGGCAUGCUUAACACAUGCAAGUCGCACGGGCAGCAAUGUCAGUGGCGGACGGGUGAGUAACGCGUAGGAACAUGUCCAGUGGUGGGGGAUAACGUUGGGAAACUGACGCUAAUACCGCAUGAGCCCUGAGGGGGAAAGCAGCGAUGCGCCGAUGGAGUGGCCUGCGUAGGAUUAGCUUGUUGGUGGGGUAACGCCUACCAAGGCUACGAUCCUUAGCUGGUCUGAGAGGACGAUCAGCCACAUUGGGACUGAGACACGGCCCAAAUCCUACGGGAGCAGCAGUGGGGAAUAUUGGACAAGUGGGCGCAAGCCUGACUCCAGCAAGUCGCCGCGUGUGUGAAGAGGUCUUCGGAUUAGUAAA